RNAcentral lists this ribosomal RNA (253 nucleotides) under uncultured bacterium. RNAcentral describes it as "partial 16S ribosomal RNA". It matches the Rfam family "Bacterial small subunit ribosomal RNA", at positions 524 to 776 of the family's 1533-position model. The record is from RNAcentral.
UACGAAGGGGGCUAGCGUUGUUCGGAAUUACUGGGCGUAAAGCGCACGUAGGCGGACUACUAAGUCAGGGGUGAAAUCCCGGGGCUCAACCCCGGAACUGCCUUUGAUACUGGUAGUCUCGAGUCCGGAAGAGGUGAGUGGAAUUCCUGGUGUAGCGGUGAAAUGCGUAGAUAUCAGGAGGAAUACCGGUGGCGAAAGCGACUCUCUGGACGGCAACUGACGCUGAGGCACGAAAGCGUGGGGAGCAAACAGG